Ziziphus jujuba (common jujube) is the source of this 358-nucleotide long non-coding RNA. RefSeq lists it as uncharacterized. The record is from RefSeq and is a predicted model, not a curated record. The transcript has 3 exons. NCBI's taxonomy places the organism in Eukaryota, Viridiplantae, Streptophyta, Magnoliopsida, Rosales, Rhamnaceae.
UUUUCAUUUUUUUUUCUUUUUAACACUUUACUUUUUAGUUUCGUUGUUAUCUCUUCUAGUCUGUUAUUUCAAUUUCCUUUAUCUUUCCCUCAAGUGUUUUUUACUCUGUAGGUUAAUGCUAGUGAUGAUCGGUCAUCAUCAACAAUUGAAGCAAAAAUUCUUGAUGUAGUGCAGAUGAACUCUGUCACUGUUGACUCGAGGCCAAAGUGCUUGAUGGAGCUCUUGGUGAUGGCAAAGGUGCUGUGGAGGUUAUUCUAAAGAUGGUUUCUGCAGAUAAGAAGUUUGAUACAGGGAAGGAGAAUUUUCCAAAUGAAGAAAAUCAUGAAAGUACAUAGAAAGUUUAUCAUUCAUAUGGAGU